This 500-nucleotide ribosomal RNA is filed under the name uncultured Glomeromycotina. RNAcentral's name for it is "partial small subunit ribosomal RNA". It matches the Rfam family "Eukaryotic small subunit ribosomal RNA", at positions 591 to 1092 of the family's 1831-position model. Lineage: Eukaryota; Fungi; Glomeromycota. The record is from RNAcentral.
CCAAUGGCGUAUAUUAAAGUUGCUGCAGUUAAAAAGCUCGUAGUUGAAUUUCGGGAUCAAUUUACUGGUCGUGCCUACGGUACGUACUGGUAUUGUUGGUUCCUCCUUUCUGAGGAGCCGCGAUGUCAUUAACUUGGUGUCGCGGGGAAUCAGGACUGUUACUUUGAAAAAAUUAGAGUGUUUAAAGCAAGCUAACGCUUGAAUACAUUAGCAUGGAAUAAUGAAAUAGGACGUUUGAUCCUAUUUUGUUGGUUUCUAGGGUCGACGUAAUGAUUAAUAGGGAUAGUUGGGGGCAUUAGUAUUCAAUUGUCAGAGGUGAAAUUCUUGGAUUUAUUGAAGACUAACUACUGCGAAAGCAUUUGCCAAGGAUGUUUUCAUUAAUCAAGAACGAAAGUUAGGGGAUCGAAGACGAUCAGAUACCGUCGUAGUCUUAACCAUAAACUAUGCCGACUAGGGAUCGGAUGAUGUUAAUUUUUUAAUGACUCAUUCGGCGCCUUACG